AAUUAUGUCGUCAUAAUUGAUUAAAUUUAUUUAAUUUUUUUUAGAUGGCUCCUAGAAGGAAACCAGCAGCACCUACUUAUGCCCAGUUGUUUGGCGAUGGUUCCCGUACAUCUUCUUCCGGUCCAUCGUCUUCCGAUGCAGUUCCAGACUCUCAGACUUCUCAGAGAGUUUUUUCGAGUCCUCCUCUUCCACCGCAGAUGCCUCCACCUCCUCCUCCGGCAGCUGCACCUGAGCCUGUCCCAGAAG
Molecule: long non-coding RNA, 246 nt
Filed under: Brassica napus (rape)
Lineage: Eukaryota; Viridiplantae; Streptophyta; Magnoliopsida; Brassicales; Brassicaceae
Description: long non-coding RNA (BNAP_LNC023841)
Source: RNAcentral